RNAcentral lists this ribosomal RNA (253 nucleotides) under uncultured bacterium. RNAcentral's name for it is "partial 16S ribosomal RNA". It matches the Rfam family "Bacterial small subunit ribosomal RNA", at positions 524 to 776 of the family's 1533-position model. The record is from RNAcentral.
UACGUAGGGCGCAAGCGUUGUCCGGAAUUAUUGGGCGUAAAGAGCUCGUAGGCGGCCUGUUGCGUCCGCUGUGAAAUCCCGGGGCUCAACCCCGGGCCUGCAGUGGAUAGGGGCUGGCUGGAGGCAGGCAGGGGAGAACGGAAUUCCUGGUGUAGCGGUGAAAUGCGCAGAUAUCAGGAGGAACACCGGUGGCGAAGGCGGGACUCUGGGCCGAUACUGACGCUGAGGAGCGAAAGCGUGGGGAGCAAACAGG